Molecule: long non-coding RNA, 698 nt
Organism: Apis cerana (Asiatic honeybee)
Lineage: Eukaryota; Metazoa; Arthropoda; Insecta; Hymenoptera; Apidae
Source: RefSeq, a predicted model, not a curated record
UCUUCGGCAAAUUUCGUAAACUUGGCCCGCCGAUAGGUUAUAAGUACGAGACGAGUCUCGCGCGGAGGUCAUUUCGCAACGAACUCUAGAACGGGUCGGAACUAUGACCCAUUUUUUAAAAUUCUCAUACGUAACGAAUAAAUUUUAAUCGUUUAUUUUUAAGCGCGUCUCGACAUGUAGUCACCUCCUCCCCGUGGCGAGACAAUUGAUAUCGAUUCACGCAAAUUCUUUUUCCAAAGGAUUAUUCUUCGCGCGAGCCGAGCCAAAAAGUAUGGAUCUAAACCAAAGAUUGGACUGCGGGUAUCAUUUUAUUACCCCCUCCCCUUCCUCGUGGGACACCAUGGGACACCGCGACUUAAUUUUAAUUUCACCCACACUUUUUAACGUAAUGUAACAAAUAUUAAAAUUAUUGUGAGCGCAUUCCCGUACGCAAACACACGCCUCCUUCCAAUUACUAAGAUAAAAAAUCUUGCCAAUUAUUAUCGUCAACCGAAUAUUCGAAUAUUUUCGUUAUUUCGUUUUAUUAAAAGGGGAAGGCGUGUGUUUCGAUUUACGGAUGCUGCCAGUAGGAAAAAUGUAUUAAAAGUAAACGUGAAAGUAUCGAUUGAUAUUUAUAUUUAAGCGUAGAUUGCGCGCGAGGAAAAAGAUUUUUCGUAAAGAUCGAUGUAAAUAUACGUUGCAUAUUUUUAACUAAUUAA